GACGAACGCUGGCGGCGUGCUUAACACAUGCAAGUCGAACGGAAAGGCCCUGCUUUUGUGGGGUGCUCGAGUGGCGAACGGGUGAGUAACACGUGAGUAACCUGCCCUUGACUUUGGGAUAACUUCAGGAAACUGGGGCUAAUACCGGAUAGGAGCUCCUGCUGCAUGGUGGGGGUUGGAAAGUUUCGGCGGUUGGGGAUGGACUCGCGGCUUAUCAGCUUGUUGGUGGGGUAGUGGCUUACCAAGGCUUUGACGGGUAGCCGGCCUGAGAGGGUGACCGGGCAAAUUGGGAAUGAGAUAAGGCCCAGAAUCCUAAGGGAGGCAGCAGUGGGGAAUAUUGCACAAUGGGCGGAAGCCUGAUGCAGCAACGCCGCGUGCGGGAUGACGGCCUUCGGGUUGUAAACCGCUUUCGCCUGUGACGAAGCGUGAGUGACGGUAAUGGGUAAAGAAGCACCGGCUAACUACGUG
RNAcentral lists this ribosomal RNA (468 nucleotides) under uncultured bacterium. Its description in RNAcentral is "partial 16S ribosomal RNA". It matches the Rfam family "Bacterial small subunit ribosomal RNA", at positions 28 to 507 of the family's 1533-position model. The record is from RNAcentral.